RNAcentral lists this ribosomal RNA (471 nucleotides) under uncultured bacterium. RNAcentral's name for it is "bacterial SSU rRNA". It matches the Rfam family "Bacterial small subunit ribosomal RNA", at positions 335 to 800 of the family's 1533-position model. The record is from RNAcentral.
ACUCCUACGGGAGGCAGCAGUGGGGAAUAUUGCACAAUGGGGGAAACCCUGAUGCAGCCAUGCCGCGUGUGUGAAGAAGGCCUUCGGGUUGUAAAGCACUUUCAGUAGGGAGGAAGGUAGUGUAGUUAACACCUGCAUUAUUUGACGUUACCUACAGAAGAAGCACCGGCUAACUCCGUGCCAGCAGCCGCGGUAAUACGGAGGGUGCGAGCGUUAUCCGGAUUUAUUGGGUUUAAAGGGUCCGUAGGCGGGUUAAUAAGUCAGUGGUGAAAUCCCAUCGCUUAACGAUGGAACUGCCAUUGAUACUGUUAGUCUUGAAUGAGGGUGCAGUGGUUGGAAUGUGUAGUGUAGCGUGAAAUGCAUAGAUAUUACACAGAACACCGAUUGCGAAGGCAGAUCACUAACCCUAAAUUGACGCUGAGGGACGAAAGCGUGGGGAGCGAACAGGAUUAGAUACCCUGUAGGUCAGUC